RNAcentral lists this ribosomal RNA (484 nucleotides) under uncultured bacterium. RNAcentral describes it as "partial 16S ribosomal RNA". It matches the Rfam family "Bacterial small subunit ribosomal RNA", at positions 30 to 507 of the family's 1533-position model. The record is from RNAcentral.
AUUGAACGCUGGCGGCAGGCCUAACACAUGCAAGUCGAGCGGAUGAAGGGAGCUUGCUCCUGGAUUCAGCGGCGGACGGGGGAGUAAUGCCUAGGAAUCUGCCUGGUAGUGGGGGAUAACGUCCGGAAAUGGGCGCUAAUACCGCAUACGUCCUGCGGGAGAAAGUGGGGGAUCUUCGGACCUCACGCUAUCAGAUUAGCCUAGGUCGGAUUAGCUAGUUGGUGGGGUAAAGGCCUACCAAGGCGACGAUCCGUAACUGGUCUGAGAGGAUGAUCAGUCACACUGGAACUGAGACACGGUCCAGACUCCUACGGGAGGCAGCAGUGGGGAAUAUUGGACAAUGGGCGAAAGCCUGAUCCAGCCAUGCCGCGUGUGUGAAGAAGGUCUUCGGAUUGUAAAGCACUUUAAGUUGGGAGGAAGGGCAGUAAGUUAAUACCUUGCUGUUUUGACGUUACCAACAGAAUAAGCACCGGCUAACUUCGUG